GGUUAGCCUUGGGCUGAUGAGGAAAGAAAAGUUUUGUAGACAGAGAAAGGAGGACUAAGAGGCUGAUCCUGCAUCCGCUGAAAUUCUGCACCCAGGGACAAAGCACCCACUGAUCUAAACGAUGCAGAAACAUCACGAGUGGCUCUGUCACCUGGAGAAAGUGGUUCUUCAGCCGCUACGGAAAGCAGCACUCUGAGUGAGACCUAAUUAUGCAGACAGAGGAGUGGUGGGAGGUGAAUCCAGGCGCAUGUACCACAGAUUCCAUUAAUGUUCGGAGGACAAUGUAACAGUUCUCUCCUGGAAGAGAGAGGCCUAAUUUGGAAGUCCUUCUUGAUCUCCGUUUACAACAUACCAAGCGUAACGAAUAACCCUGCACUUGGGGUUUCUCUGAGUCAAUAUACUGCUGUAGUAAAACCACGCUGCACCUGGGGAAGACAUCAGUGCUCUGCUCUGGAUUGCAACCCAUACUAGAAGAAAAGAUUCUUAAAGAGAUCUUUCCAGAACCACCCAUCCUAGCCUUUAAACAAGCACUGAACCUCACCAACCUCAUCACCAGAAGCAAACUUCCCAUGACCCAAAGCACACCAAAUGGAUCCAGACCAUGCUGGGACAGGAAAUGUAAAACCUGGCAACACAUCACCACCACUCCCACAAUAACUAAACCCCACAGCACAACUAUCGCCGUUCCUGGAUCUUCCACCUGCACCUCCAGAAAUGUAACAUAUCUCAGCCAGUGCAUGGAAUGCCCUGAUGGAAACUACAUAGGAGAAACGAAACAAUUGCGUACCAGAAUGAAUGCACGCUGAAAAUCUAUCAAAGACAAGAAUACCCAGCUACCUGUGG
Molecule: long non-coding RNA, 843 nt
Organism: Alligator sinensis (Chinese alligator)
Lineage: Eukaryota; Metazoa; Chordata; Crocodylia; Alligatoridae
Exons: 3
Source: RefSeq, a predicted model, not a curated record